RNAcentral lists this ribosomal RNA (336 nucleotides) under Triticum aestivum (bread wheat). Its description in RNAcentral is "partial small subunit ribosomal RNA". The record is from RNAcentral. Lineage: Eukaryota; Viridiplantae; Streptophyta; Magnoliopsida; Poales; Poaceae.
AUGGAGAUAAUUGAUUUGUUUCCAUAUCUAUCUUUCUGUAUUCAGACUCGGGGGGAGAAGGUGCUUCAUGCUGAUGGUGUAUAUAAGCUUGGCACAGUGAAGAAGCAUUGCAAGACUCCAUCAGAAAAUGGACCCGCGGUAGACUGCAUCCGCAUCGGCGCAUGGGCGAUGCCGACAUUGGACAGCGGCAGAGCGUGCAAAGUCUGCGCUUCUGACGGACCUUCACCACCAAUUGCCAUGCUCUCUACCAUCCUUCUCGCUCCUCCCCAUCUCUAUGCCACAGCUCGCAGGCUAGCCCAACCUCUGCUGCCUUCCUUUCUGCCUCACCUCCCCUGA